UACGUAGGCAGCGAGCGUUGUUCGGAAUUACUGGGCGUAAAGAGUGUGUAGGCGGUGCUCUAAGUUCGGUGUGAAAUCUCCCGCUUAACUGGGAGGGUGCGCCGGAAACUGGAGUGCUCGAGCGUGGGAGAGGAAAGCGGAUCCUGGUGUAGCGGUGAAAUGCGUAGAUAUCAGGAGGAACACCUGCGGUGUAGACGGCUUUCUGGACCAUUGCUGACGCUGAGACACGAAAGCGUGGGUAGCAAACAGG
RNAcentral lists this ribosomal RNA (250 nucleotides) under uncultured bacterium. RNAcentral describes it as "partial 16S ribosomal RNA". It matches the Rfam family "Bacterial small subunit ribosomal RNA", at positions 524 to 776 of the family's 1533-position model. The record is from RNAcentral.